This 405-nucleotide ribosomal RNA is filed under the name uncultured bacterium. RNAcentral's name for it is "partial 16S ribosomal RNA". It matches the Rfam family "Bacterial small subunit ribosomal RNA", at positions 28 to 526 of the family's 1533-position model. The record is from RNAcentral.
GACGAACGCUGGCGGCGUGCUUAACACAUGCAAGUCGAGCGGAGCGGCGAACGGGUGAGUAACGCGUGAGUAACUGCCCCCCUCUCUGGGAUCACAGUUGGAAACGGCUGCUAAUACCGGAUAGUGGGGGAUGACUCGCGUCCUAUCAGCUUGUUGGUGGGGUAGUGGCCUACCAAGGCGACGACGGGUAGCCGGCCUGGGAGGGCGACCGGCCACAUGGGGCUGAGAUACGGCGCAGUAGCGUACGGGAGGCAGCGGGGGGGAAUAUUGCACAAUGGGGGAAACGCUGAUGAAGCGACGCCGCGUGCGGGAUGACGGCCUUCGGGUUGUAAACCGCGUUCAGCCAUGACGCGGUAGUGGAAGAAGAAGCACCGGCUAACUACGUGCCAGCAGCCGCGGUAAUAC